GGGGGGAGCAAGCGUUGUUCGGAUUUACUGGGCGUAAAGGGCGCGUAGGCGGCCACCGCAAGUCAAUUGUGAAAUCUCCGGGCUUAACUCGGAAAGGUCAACUGAUACUGCGGGGCUAGAGUGCAGAAGGGGCAACUGGAAUUCUCGGUGUAGCGGUGAAAUGCGUAGAUAUCGAGAGGAACACCUGCGGCGAAGGCGGGUUGCUGGGCUGACACUGACGCUGAGGCGCGAAAGCUAGGGGAGCGAACGGGAUUAGAUACCCCGGUAGUCCUAGCCUUAAACGAUGAAUGCUUGGUGUCUGGGGUUUUAAAGUCCCCGGGUGCCGUCGCUAACGCUUUAAGCAUUCCGCCUGGGGAGUACGGUCGCAAGACUGAA
RNAcentral lists this ribosomal RNA (375 nucleotides) under uncultured bacterium. Its description in RNAcentral is "bacterial SSU rRNA". It matches the Rfam family "Bacterial small subunit ribosomal RNA", at positions 527 to 898 of the family's 1533-position model. The record is from RNAcentral.